CAACGGUCGGACAUCUAGGAAGCAGUCUCCAGUUUGUAUUAUACCUCGGUGGUGUAGAAGGAACAAAUAUCGACCGGAUCUUGAUCGGACGACGAGAACAACAACGUGUUAAAGGUACAUUAUGUAUUUUGUAGUUGUAAUAAUGUUAAUAGUUCGCCUAAUUUCAGUUUAUGUGACAAAACGAGCACUCUUGAGUGUAGAGAAUCAUUGUACAAUCUAAACCGCUGUGAAAUCUAUUUUAAAUAACCACAAAUAUUGUGGUUUCAGAUGUUUGAAGCUAGUGUACAAAACCGAAAGUAAAAGACGCAUAGAAAUCGCAGAUGACCGCUUCUCAGACUUGCUUUCAAUGAGAAGACCUAGAAGAUCUAUAACUGAUAUUAUUAUUUUUUGAAUGAAAGGUGUAACCAAGGCUUCUGAGAACACAGAGAAACAUGGCUACAGUCUUCAUCUGUUCCGUCUGUACCGAAGUCUUCGUUGGACAUAUAUCGCUGAGCUGCAAGCACACCUUCUGUGAACGUUGCCUCCAGAAGUGUAUGGACGCUGGUUGCGUUAUCUGUCCGGUGUGCGGGGAUCCAAUCACGUCGGAGAACAUCAGAGUCAACAGAAUACUAAGGGACAUGGCAGACGAAGUGAGACAGAGAAGAGUUGAUCUCAGAGUAUUGAAGAGGAAUGAGGACUUUGAUGUGAAUAACUGGGAAACCAACAAGAAGAAGGAGAAUGUGAAAACGUCAAAGUCCUUGGUGAAGGAAGGCCUGGCUGCCAGAAAGACAGAGAGGAAGUUAAAGUCAUCUCUGACCACUGGUCCCUGGGAGGGUAUAGUUUUUGGCAUUAUGGCCUUUUAUUGCUUUAUUUCUGUUCUUACUUAUGUUGUCCUUCCUUGUGUGGAAUAUGUGUCUGUAACAAUGUCAGGAAAUGCAGCCAAGGUGUUCGGAUCCCCUUUGGUGUUCAUGUCUAUGUUUGUUGUCUUCGGUGUUGUUGCUCAUUUAGUGGAUUUUGUGUUGAAAAAGAUUGACUUAAAAUCUGUUUUAUAUAGUAAUAACUGAUUGAUUGCUUUUAUGCAGUGUUGGAGAGUCAUUGGAUGUAGCGAACUUCCUUUCCCAGCAGGUUGGUGGUAGUUGAACAACUUUUUUGAAAUGAAUUAUAUUAUUGAGUUGACUUACAUCUGCAGGUUUAUGCCCAGUUUAUUGAUGCUAUGAUAAGUGCAGUAGAUUUUAGUUGUAAAAUGAAUGUUGUGAAGUAUGCUUUAAAAACUGCUAACUGAUUAUAUGGAAGGAAAAGGGCAAUGAGUUUUGAUGUAAAACUUUUCCUGUAAAUAUUCAGCAUUAUAAUGGCACCAGAGUUUCCAGCUUAAAUACUGUAAUUUUGCUUUACAGCAGAGAUGCUGUAAUAUAUUUUACAGUAACCUCUUUUCCAUACUAUAAAACACAUUACAGAAUACAGCAUCCCUGCUUUAAAUUUACAGCUGUAAGGUUUUUACAGUAGUAGUAUUCAAUGUCGGGAUUCGUGUCCCCACAACUGCAGUGGGGUUGCCAACAAUAUUAUUUGAAAUGUUUUAUAUUAUUAUUUAGUGUUAUUAUUUUUUAUUUAAACAAUAUAGAAACAUUUUUGAGAAAAAUGGGUUCCCUGCUGAAAAGGUUUAAAUACUAUUGUUUUACAGUAAGGAAAAUACUACUGUAAAAUAUAUUACAGCAUACCUGCUGUAAAGCAGAAUUACAGUAUUUAAGCUGGAAACUCUGGUGCCAUUACAAUGCUGAAUAUUUACAGUGAAAUUCUACCUGAAAUCUAAAUACAAAGAUAUAUAUACAAAUGUACAUAAAAUACAUGUAUUCAAAUAGCUGACAACAUUAGCUACAAAUGAACAAUAUAAUUGACAAUGGAAGUAACAACAGUUAUGACGUAUGUAACCAAAUAAGUGCAUCAUUACAACACUAAUUACAAAUUAUAUUGUGUGUGUGUGGGGGGGGAUUGAGAUCUAUUUAGGGUAAGGGGUUCAGAGGCGGUGAAACGGGACAGUUUGGUCAGGAGAGCAUCCAGGACAGAGAGAGGUUAGCAUCAUGUGUUCCUCAUGGGGCUCCGUAAACAAACCUCCUCGCGUUCUGAUUGGUCAGCUCUUCUCAACCCUAGGACAAGCAUAGAAAGAGAAAGACUGGAAUGAGCACCAGGGGCUGUUACUCUGUGGGUAAAUAGACAGACAGACAGCACCAGGGGAUGUUACUCUGUGGGUUAAUAGACAGACAGACAGCACCAGGGGAUGUUACUCUGUGGGUUAAUAGACAGACAGACAGCACCAGGGGAUGUUACUCUGUGGGUUAAUAGACAGACAGACAGCACCAGGGGAUGUUACUCUGUGGGUUAAUAGACAGACAGACAGCACCAGGGGAUGUUACUCUGUGGGUUAAUAGACAGACAGACAGCACCAGGGGAUGUUACUCUGUGGGUAAAUAGACAGACAGACAGCACCAGGGGAUGUUACUCUGGGGGUAAAUAGACAGACAGCAACAGGGGCUGUUACUCUGUGGGUAAAUAGAGAGACAGCACCAGGGGCUGUUACUCUGUGGGUAAAUAGAGAGACAGACAGCAACAGGGGCUGUUACUCUGGGGGUAAAUAGACAGACAGCAACAGGGGCUGUUACUCUGUGGGUAAAUAGACAGAGGACAAGGGACAUAUUAAGCUGGUGUUGUGUGUACAUACUUAACUACAAAUCUACAGUAGGCAUAAGCUAUUACUGUAAAUAAAUUAUACAGAAUGUUGGGAGGAUUUCCUCCAGGAGGCUUCCAAUUACAGUAAAUAACAGUAUUUUUUCAGCAUUUUACCCAUAAUGCAGUGCAAUCUAUAACAUUAUUGCUUUAAGACACAUAUGGUAUUUUACUGUGCCUUCUACCAUGUUUUAAUGCUGACAUGACAGUCUUACACUACAUAGCUUUUCUCCAUUUGAGAAGACACUACCCUAUUUGUAUUGAAAUGUAAUAAAAAUAUAAUUCCAUUCUGAUGUUUUUUGUUUCUCCUUCACUAAUACCCCUUUUCCUUCACUACUUAAAUGUUAAUUGUUCUUGUGUUUGUAACAGAGGGACCCUUUAAAACAAAAAAACUUUAUUGUCACAACCUGCUGAGGUGGUUGUUCAUCUCUUCAAAGAAGCUCCCGGUCUGAGGCACCGCAUCUCAGUGCAAAAAGGCGUCACUACAGUCCCUGGUUUGAAUCCAGGCUGUAUCACAUCCGGCUGUGAAUGGGAGUCCCAUAGGGCAUCGAACAAUUGGCCCAGCGUGGUCCGGGUUUGGCCGGGGGGGUUUAGGCCGUCACUGUAAAUACGAAUAUGUUCUUAACUGACUUGCCAGGUUAAAUAAAGGUUAUAAAAUAACAUUUUAGAAAGGAGGUGUUUAACCAAUCCUAUAACCAUCUGUUACAGUGCAAUACUUCCAAUCAAAUAUAUGAGUUCUGGUUUACCAUAUACAGUACUUCACAGUUAGUCCAGUUUAACCAGGUUAGUCCAGUUUAACCAGGUUAGUCCAGUUUAACCAGGUUAGUCCAGUUUAACCAGGUUAGUCCAGUUUAACCAGAGGGGGAAAAUCUGAAUAGAAAACUACUGUUUGCCAAUUAUAAAGUGGAUACGGUGUCAUUCCUGACAUCGCCAGAGAAAGAAACCUGAUUUGUGGACAAGGUGGACCUCUGAAGAUAUCCUACAGAUCACCAUGUUGGUGAAUGAUCUGCCCCCCUCACUGCUGCAGUCAGCUGCAGAGGAGGAGAAUGUAAUGAGGUUCUUCAGCCCGAGGAGGGUGAUGACGAGCAGCGUCAGCAGGAACACCAGCAGGCUCCACGGCUGCCAUGGAAACGGAGGUGAGGGAGAACUUCAGGAAGGUUCCGUUGGCAGGGGAGAUUCCGGGUCCGUUGAGCUCGUCCAAUGGGAUGUCCAUCCCUGACAUCCUGACGAUCGGAUUAGACGGAUCUGAGGGAGAGGAGAAAUAGGGUGUUACAGUAAGGUGAAUUCAACACCUGGUAUGUGGAAACCAAAAGAUUUAGUUUUUAAAGCAAGAACAUAAUUAAAUGCUAACCUUGCAUUUUUUUUGUGUGCAAAUAUUCAGGAUCAUCUUUUUGCGAACCUUGUAGUUAUUGCAUUGCGUACUGCAUGGGGUAUAUUUUUAGGCUUUCCUAUAUCCCAAAAUAUUCCCAGGAUAUUCCGGAUUCCCACG
Oncorhynchus tshawytscha (Chinook salmon) is the source of this 4186-nucleotide long non-coding RNA. NCBI's taxonomy places the organism in Eukaryota, Metazoa, Chordata, Actinopteri, Salmoniformes, Salmonidae. The record is from Ensembl.